Molecule: ribosomal RNA, 497 nt
Filed under: uncultured bacterium
Lineage: Bacteria
Description: partial 16S ribosomal RNA
Rfam family: Bacterial small subunit ribosomal RNA
Source: RNAcentral
GACGAACGCUGGCGGCGUGCCUAAUACAUGCAAGUUGAGCGCUGAAGGUUGGUACUUGUACCAACUGGAUGAGCAGCGAACGGGUGAGUAACGCGUGGGGAAUCUGCCUUUGAGCGGGGGACAACAUUUGGAAACGAAUGCUAAUACCGCAUAAAAACUUUAAACACAAGUUUUAAGUUUGAAAGAUGCAAUUGCAUCACUCAAAGAUGAUCCCGCGUUGUAUUAGCUAGUUGGUGAGGUAAAGGCUCACCAAGGCGAUGAUACAUAGCCGACCUGAGAGGGUGAUCGGCCACAUUGGGACUGAGACACGGCCCAAACUCCUACGGGAGGCAGCAGUAGGGAAUCUUCGGCAAUGGACGAAAGUCUGACCGAGCAACGCCGCGUGAGUGAAGAAGGGUUUCGGAUCGUAAAACUCUGUUGGUAGAGAAGAACGUUGGUGAGAGUGGAAAGCCCAUCAAGUGACGGUAACUACCCAGAAAGGGACGGCUAACUACGUG